This 460-nucleotide ribosomal RNA is filed under the name uncultured bacterium. RNAcentral's name for it is "partial 16S ribosomal RNA". It matches the Rfam family "Bacterial small subunit ribosomal RNA", at positions 338 to 795 of the family's 1533-position model. The record is from RNAcentral.
CCUACGGGAGGCAGCAGUGAGGAAUAUUGGUCAAUGGACGAGAGUCUGAACCAGCCAAGUAGCGUGAAGGAUGACUGCCCUAUGGGUUGUAAACUUCUUUUAUAUGGGAAUAAAAUGUUCCACGUGUGGGAUUUUGUAUGUACCAUAUGAAUAAGGAUCGGCUAACUCCGUGCCAGCAGCCGCGGUAAUAAGGAGGAUACGAGCGUUAUCCGGAUUGAUUGGGGUUAAAGGGAGCGUAGGUGGAUUGUUAAGUCAGUUGUGAAAGUUUGCGGCUCAACCGUAAAAUUGCAGUUGAAACUGGCAGUCUUGAGUACAGUAGAGGUGGGCGGAAUUCGUGGUGUAGCGGUGAAAUGCUUAGAUAUCACGAAGAACUCCGAUUGCGAAGGCAGCUCACUGGACUGCAACUGACACUGAGGCUCGAAAGUGUGGGUAUCAAACAGGAUUAGAUACCCUUGUAGUC